This is a long non-coding RNA of Neofelis nebulosa (Clouded leopard), 1499 nucleotides long. RefSeq lists it as uncharacterized. The transcript has 3 exons. NCBI's taxonomy places the organism in Eukaryota, Metazoa, Chordata, Mammalia, Carnivora, Felidae. The record is from RefSeq and is a predicted model, not a curated record.
AUAGUCAUUUCACAUUAUAUGUAAGUCAAAUAAUUAUGCUGUACACUCUAAACUUAUACAGUGCUGUAUGUCAAGUAUAUCUUAAUAAAACUGGCAAACGUACUUAUACAUCAGGAGACUGCACAUGCCAAAUUAGUGGGAAGGCCUUCUUCUCCUUAAAGAGCUGAUUCUUCCUUGGGAAAACAGAGCAGUCACAGGUAAGGCAAAUGGAUGACAACAGAAGAUGACUCCACACUAUGUGCAAAAUAUUUGAAAAUAGGCAUAUCAAGGAGGGCUAGAAUAGUAAGAUGAUGUUGGUUGGAGAAAGAAGGCUUGAAUGGGGACUUGAACAACUAGCAAACAUCAAAGAGAGAGGAAGAAAAAGAAGAUACAACAGAAUAUAAUAUAUAGAACUCAUGGGGCAUUAAGGAUUUUGGACAAGUAAGAUAGGAGAGAGGAAUGGACAGGCCAAAAUUUUGCCUUCCAAGCCAAGCAGAAAUUUUUAAAUUUAUUGAUGAAGAUACUGUCAGAAUUUGUUCAGGGGAGUAAUGAAAACUAUAUGUGAGGAAGGCUAGAGUGAAAGGGAUAUAAAGGGAGGUCCAAUAAAAUGAAAGAAAGUUUGAAGUAAUGUAACCCAAUCUUUAUAUUUUACAUAUGUAAAAACAGGAGCCCAAGAAUUGAACUUAUUUUUUCAGGUUUUUACGGCCUGUGAGGAUCAAGGAAGGGGAGAGAGAGAGAUGUGAGUAGGUGGCUGAAACCCAAGACAGGACACCCUUAUACAGCUUACUUUGGAGUGAUGGCAGUACAAUCACCAAAAGGUUUUAAUGGAUGUAUAAUAAAAUAUAUAAAGGACAUUUAUAAUUUGCAUAAAGAUAUUUUUACUUUUUAUUGAAAUAUAAUGUGCAUAAAGUAUACACAUUUGAAAUGCAGAGUUUAAUACAUUUUUGCACAGGGAACAUAGUUUUAUGUAACUAAAAAACAGAUGAAAAAAUAGAACAUAUAGAAGAUAUAGAACAUUCAAAAGCCUCUCUACUAACAGUCUACCAGUUAAAAUGCCCUCAGAUAUUAACCAAUAUCCUCUUUUAUCAACUAGAUUCAUUUUGCCAGUUUUAAACUUUAAACAAAUGAAGUUAUAAAAUAUAGGUAUUCUUUUUUUAUUGCUUUUGUUUAUUUAAUUUUAAAUUCCGGUGUGGUUAACAAACAGUGUUAUAUUUGUUUCAGGUGUACAAUAUAGUGAUUCAACACUUCCACACAACAGCCGUUGCUCAUCACAAGUGCACUUCCUCAUCCCCAUCACCAAAUACAGGGAAUCAGCUGGCCCUACUUGAUGAGAAGAAAUGAUAGAGAAAAGCACACAAGUCAGUAAAUGGCUGAGGAAGGAAUGUGAGAGAUUGUGGUUAAAAUUAUGAUGGCACUUGGGAGAGGGUUCCAGAGUGGUUAAGAAGCUGUCUUGUGGCUGAAAGCAGAGCCUCGAGCAGAAGCCCCAACACCAAGAGGAGGUGGUGGCGGUGGGGGGGGGG